Molecule: non-coding RNA, 1072 nt
Organism: Drosophila bipectinata
Lineage: Eukaryota; Metazoa; Arthropoda; Insecta; Diptera; Drosophilidae
Source: RefSeq, a predicted model, not a curated record
CGUAUUGGAGAGCCGGUGCACCAGGGCGGAGUAUCAAGAUAAAACAUCUCCAAGAAUAGAGGGUACCUGAGAUUUAAGGAGAAGUAAGAAAGGAGAAAGGUAUGGCUUUACUGCCUUUCCCGACAAUCAGUGUCAUAAGUAUCUUAUUAGUUUUGAGUUUGCCUGGCCAGUCAAGAGCCAGAUAAUGUUUCCAAAUCCAAAUGUUAAGCAACAUGCUGCUAAAGCAUCAAGGGACAAUGUUUCCGACAAAAAGUCUGGUUUCUAUGGGUAUAGCAUAUAUUGGUCUCAUUCUAGCCGCAGUGUGUAGGCAUAAUUAGUAAAAAUAAGAAGAAGAGACAAUUUUCAGUAACCAUUAUUGUUUACGUUUUGACAAAACGUGGAGUCGUGAAAAAUAAGAAUAUUAAUAUUUAAUUCAAAUUAGUAGCAGUAUGCUGCGGUUAAUAUUAUUAUCCCACAGUGGGAAACAAGAGUCCUCAUCAUGGCCAGUCGUAUCGAUAGAAAGGUGGGCAGACAACCUUGAUUAUUCUUGGACUUUAUGAGUAAUGGAUUCAGUUAAAGUUGAGAAUCCAUCAUGUAUCUUGGCAGCAAAUACUUCACGAUCCCUUGCAGGGGCUGCUACAUGAAAGUCAACCAGGAUGAUUCAUUAUACAUUGCUUAUGGAGGAUUAAAUAAGUUGAUGUGGAUUUGAUUCAGAUAAGAAUAAAUAAUGAUGGCAGUAAAGUAAGAUUAAACUAAUCAGUUCCUUAUUUAUUUAGUGAAACAUGGGAAAAACAGGAUCAGUUGUGCUGAGCGAAAUUAAAUCGUUGUACGUUGAACCAAUCAACAUCACACGGGAUGAUUAUUCAUUAGUGUCCCAGAAAGCUGCAAUGGCCGGAUUUAGUAGCAGUUGAUCAUCAGAUAAAUGUGGCGAAUGACGAGUUAAUAAAGGAAUCUGUGGAGUAACGACGUUUGAGGUGCUGGAAGAGGCUUCAAGGUGGCUAACCUAUCAUCAAGUUGCUGUUCAGGAGCAGGUGGCGGAAUCUCACUCGGAGAUAGAGGAGUCAUGAUCAAACGUUGGAUAUAUUCUGGCUGA